UAAGGGAUAUUGGUCAAUGGGGCGGGAGCCUGAACCAGCCAUGCCGCGUGAGGGAAUGAGGCCCUACGGGUCGUAAACCUCUUUUGCCGGGGGAUAACGGGCGCCACGCGUGGCGCCGUGAAGGUACCCGGAGAAUAAGCAUCGGCUAACUCCGUGCCAGCAGCCGCGGUAAUACGGAGGAUGCGAGCGUUAUCCGGAUUUAUUGGGUUUAAAGGGUGCGCAGGCGGGCGUCUAAGUCAGCGGUGAAAGUUCCCGGCUCAACCGGGUCAGUGCCGAUGAUACUGGGGGUCUUGAAUGCGGUCGAGGCCGGCGGAAUGUGGCGUGUAGCGGUGAAAUGCAUAGAUAUGCCACAGAACAC
Molecule: ribosomal RNA, 358 nt
Filed under: uncultured bacterium
Lineage: Bacteria
Description: bacterial SSU rRNA
Rfam family: Bacterial small subunit ribosomal RNA
Source: RNAcentral